GUUUCAUCGUUCCAGAAGAAGGCACACGAUUGCGAUGGGAGAAGAGAUCCUUUCCAAAACGCCGAAUUUUAUCGAGCAACGAUCUCCAGAAGGCUGAUCAUGACCAUCAUUAUAUAGGAUGCUGGAAUUUGGGGUCAAGUUGGUUGUUACAAAGCUUGGAAUAACACCAGGUUCCCGAGGUUCCUGCCUUUGAGGAUAUAAUUUCAAAUCAGCAAAGCUGGGAGGCACCCCCAAAUACUCCUGCUGUCUGUGAAGAGAUAAUUCCAAAACAACAAAUGGAUGGUUGCAUUAACUCUGCAUCUUCGUUGCCGAGGUCCAGGAAAACGAAUUCUCCAAGAGCUUUGGUAUGUUAUAGGGUGUUACCUCUGGUGUCUGUGAGUGGGAUCAAUAUCCUGCAAGAAAAGAGGAAAAUAAAGUAUACUCAGCACCAUGGAAAUGCUUAGCUGAACAGUGCCAAAGAUCACCUGAGUGAAUCUGGUUUCACCCUCAGGUAUUACAUAGCUGGCAAGCAGCCCUCGUUAUUAGCACCGCAGGACGCCCUUUUCUCCGCCCGCGGGAAGAUUGGAAGCGAGUCAGGGAGAGAGAUUUGCCAGAAGUCUGGAACUACUCUGAGACCCAUAUUAGCUCAAGGCCUUGUAAUUUCCCGCGGAGGAUGACGCGCUCGUGACGAAGCGAGGGCCUGCUGGCCGGCA
Pocillopora verrucosa is the source of this 692-nucleotide non-coding RNA. The record is from RefSeq and is a predicted model, not a curated record. NCBI's taxonomy places the organism in Eukaryota, Metazoa, Cnidaria, Anthozoa, Scleractinia, Pocilloporidae.